Molecule: long non-coding RNA, 1490 nt
Organism: Oryzias melastigma (Indian medaka)
Lineage: Eukaryota; Metazoa; Chordata; Actinopteri; Beloniformes; Adrianichthyidae
Exons: 2
Source: RefSeq, a predicted model, not a curated record
UUUAGCCCAAAAAAAGGACCACAUCUACCUCCAGAAGAGGUGAACAGAGUUUGUCAGUGGCCUCUCAGGAUGAGACUUCAACCUCAUUCCCACAACCUCACCCUAAAGAUGUCUCAGUUUUGGAUGGACUUGUUUGGAGACUUGAGAGACUCUGGAUACUUUAAUGGAAGCCAUGAACACCAAACUUUGCUGAGAUUCUGCAGGUGGACUUGGAUGAAUGUCGAGAUCUCUGGAACAAACACGGGAUACGGCCAAGUAGACCUGCAUUAUGUCCUGGAACAACACCCAAAUCUUGGUGCAUUUUAAAUUUCAAAGUUCAUAUUUUCCCUAAACAUAUCAUAUGAAUCUACUAGUGGUAGCUUCAUUAUAUUUACACACGUGUCUGUGACUGGAAAUGGUGAUUCACUUGUGAACUGGAUUUGUGGAGUUGGUGUCAUGCCUGCUGGUGGAAGUGCAGACCAAUGGCAAGACUGGGGCAUGAACACUGGAAUGUAGAAAUAAUUAAGUCUCUCUCUUUUUUUUUUCUUCUAAGUCAAGUAAUUAACAAACAAUCAUGGUAUAUCUCUCAAUAACAUUAGCGUGAAUCAAAUCAAACUUUAUUUUUAAAAACGCUUCUACUUGGAGCGCAUUACAUUUAAAAACAAAACAUACUCGGUAAAAGUCAUCAGUGUCAUGACAGGUUUCAGUUAAAAACAAGUUCAAUCAUGGUCUAAAAUCAGAUCAAUAAUGAUCAAGGACUUAUUUAAAAGUGAUCUGACAUUUAAAAUAGCCAUAUUCAUUGUUGUGGGUAGAAUGUGAUGUGAGCACGUAAUGGGGUUUGGUAGUUGGUGUUGUUGGAACUGGACAUCUGACAUGCAAGGCAUGUGAAUAUGAAUUAAAAUAAUUAGAAAAUCUAUUAGUAACGUGAACUGGUACUUGAUGCUGAGUGGCAGUUUAAUAUACCAGGGGUGUAGGUGUCCUGGUUCCACCGUCAGCUGUUAAUGGUUUGGAAAGAAUGUAGAGUGACACCUAUGUUAAGGCUGAGGAGACGAAACCAUUUUUGUUAGUAUGUAAACCACCUGUUUUGAAGAGGUAUGGUCUAUUGUAGAAUGUUGUGAAGUUAUCAAUGAACAGCAUGCUCAUGGGAUGAAAUAUGAAGCUGAUGGAUGCGUGAAAACAUGAUGUCUCCAUAACGGCGUGAAGGAAGUGGUCCAGAUAUGACCCAGUUUGUGUUUAACUGUUGAAUGUUUUGGAUGAGGUUAAUGAAGUCAAUUUUCAGAGUUUCAGAUUCCUGAAGUUUCAGGUUGUGCCUGCAUGUAUGAUGAAUGUCUCCACAGAGGGGUAUGUAGCAGUUAGUUGGUGGGCAGAGUUGUUAAUGUCAUUCACAACUGCUCCAGAGAGUGACCGAAUGUGGCACCCAGCAACCCGGACAUGCCGGACAACGUCUGUGAAAUGUCUUGAAAUUUGUUCUCAAUAUAAAAAUAAAAAAAUCCUUUUAUUUGCUUACUGUA